This 413-nucleotide ribosomal RNA is filed under the name uncultured bacterium. RNAcentral describes it as "bacterial SSU rRNA". It matches the Rfam family "Bacterial small subunit ribosomal RNA", at positions 917 to 1333 of the family's 1533-position model. The record is from RNAcentral.
GGGCCCGCACAAGCGGUGGAGCAUGUGGUUUAAUUCGAUGAUACGCGAGGAACCUUACCAGGACUUAAAUGUAAGUUGCAUGAUUCAGAAAUGAAUCUUUCUUCGGACAUUUUUCAAGGUGCUGCAUGGUUGUCGUCAGCUCGUGCCGUGAGGUGUCAGGUUAAGUCCUAUAACGAGCGCAACCCCUACCGUUAGUUGCCAGCGUGUAAUGACGGGGACUCUAACGGAACUGCCGGUGCAAACCGUGAGGAAGGUGGGGACGACGUCAAAUCAUCACGGCCCUUACGUCCUGGGCCACACACGUGCUACAAUGGUCGGUACAGAGAGCAGCCACUACGCGAGUAGGAGCGAAUCUUCAAAACCGAUCUCAGUUCGGAUCGCAGUCUGCAACUCGACUGCGUGAAGCUGGAAUC